UACGUAGGGGGCUAGCGUUGUCCGGAAUUACUGGGCGUAAAGAGCUCGUAGGUGGUUUGUCGCGUUGUCCGUGAAAACUCACAGCUUAACUGUGGGCGUGCGGGCGAUACGGGCAGACUGGAGUACUGCAGGGGAGACUGGAAUUCCUGGUGUAGCGGUGGAAUGCGCAGAUAUCAGGAGGAACACCGGUGGCGAAGGCGGGUCUCUGGGCAGUAACUGACGCUGAGGAGCGAAAGCGUGGGGAGCGAACAGG
Molecule: ribosomal RNA, 253 nt
Filed under: uncultured bacterium
Lineage: Bacteria
Description: partial 16S ribosomal RNA
Rfam family: Bacterial small subunit ribosomal RNA
Source: RNAcentral